Molecule: ribosomal RNA, 497 nt
Filed under: uncultured bacterium
Lineage: Bacteria
Description: partial 16S ribosomal RNA
Rfam family: Bacterial small subunit ribosomal RNA
Source: RNAcentral
GAUGAACGCUGGCGGCGUGCCUAAUACAUGCAAGUCGAGCGAACAGACCAGGCUCUUGCUCCUCUCACGUUAGCGGCGGACGGGUGAGUCACACGUGGAUAACCCACCUAUCUGUCUGGUAUCACUUCGGGACACCGGCGCUAAUCCCGGAUAAUCUAUUGCUCCGCAUGGUUCAAUAGUGAAUGUCGGUUUUGCUGUCUCUUCUCGCUGGUUCCGAGCCGCAUUGGCUGGUUGGUACGGUAACGGCUUACCAAGGCAAGGAUGCGUAGCCGACGUGCGAGGGGGAUCGGCGACACUGGAGGGGAGACACGGUCCAGAGGCCUACGGGAGGCAGCAGUAUGGAAUGGGACGCAAUGGGGGGAAGCAUGACGGAGCAGGGGCACGUGAGUGAUGAAAGUCUUCGGAGCGGAAAACCCUGUUAUGAGGGGAAAACAAAUGUGGAAGGAACUAUGCAGUGCGUGACGGUACUGGGUAAGAAAGCAACGGCUAACUACGUG